RNAcentral lists this ribosomal RNA (468 nucleotides) under uncultured bacterium. RNAcentral's name for it is "partial 16S ribosomal RNA". It matches the Rfam family "Bacterial small subunit ribosomal RNA", at positions 28 to 507 of the family's 1533-position model. The record is from RNAcentral.
GACGAACGCUGGCGGCGUGCUUAACACAUGCAAGUCGAACGGAAAGGCCCUGCUUUUGUGGGGUGCUCGAUUGGCGAACGGGUGCGUAACACGUGUGUAACCUGCCCUUGACUUUCGGAUAACUUAAGGAAACUGGGGCUAAUACCGGACAGGAGCUCCUGCUGCGUGGUGGGGGUUGGAAAUUUUCGGCGGGUGGGGAUGGACUCGCGGCUGAUCAGCUUGUUAGUGGGGUAGUGGCUUACCAAGGCUUUGACGGGUAGCCGGCCUGAGAGGGUGACCGGCCACAUUGGGACUGAGAUACGGACCAGAGUCCUACGGGAGGCAGUAGUGGGGAAUAUUGCACAAUGAGCGGAAGCCUGAGGCAACAACGCCGCGUGCGGGAUGACGGCCUGCGGGUUGUAAACCGCUUUCGCCUGUGACGCAGCGUGAGUGACGGUAAUGGGUAAAGAAGCACCGGCUAACUACGUG